GUUCCUGUAGUUGAAAACAACGAUGGCUUUUCAUGCCGCCAGUCCUGGUUAGAAUCCUGGCAAGAAUU
This 68-nucleotide transfer RNA is filed under the name Dissostichus mawsoni (Antarctic toothfish). RNAcentral's name for it is "tRNA-Glu". It matches the Rfam family "tRNA". Rfam says of the family: Transfer RNA (tRNA) molecules are approximately 80 nucleotides in length. Their secondary structure includes four short double-helical elements and three loops (D, anti-codon, and T loops). Further hydrogen bonds mediate the characteristic L-shaped molecular structure. tRNAs have two regions of fundamental functional importance: the anti-codon, which is responsible for specific mRNA codon recognition, and the 3' end, to which the tRNAs corresponding amino acid is attached (by aminoacyl-tRNA synthetases). tRNAs cope with the degeneracy of the genetic code in two manners: having more than one tRNA (with a specific anti-codon) for a particular amino acid; and 'wobble' base-pairing, i.e. permitting non-standard base-pairing at the 3rd anti-codon position. Lineage: Eukaryota; Metazoa; Chordata; Actinopteri; Perciformes; Nototheniidae. The record is from RNAcentral.